ACGAACGCUGGCGGCGUGCCUAAUACAUGCAAGUCGAACGAACUCUGGUAUUGAUUGGUGCUUGCAUCAUGAUUUACAUUUGAGUGAGUGGCGAACUGGUGAGUAACACGUGGGAAACCUGCCCAGAAGCGGGGGAUAACACCUGGAAACAGAUGCUAAUACCGCAUAACAACUUGGACCGCAUGGUCCGAGCUUGAAAGAUGGCUUCGGCUAUCACUUUUGGAUGGUCCCGCGGCGUAUUAGCUAGAUGGUGGGGUAACGGCUCACCAUGGCAAUGAUACGUAGCCGACCUGAGAGGGUAAUCGGCCACAUUGGGACUGAGACACGGCCCAAACUCCUACGGGAGGCAGCAGUAGGGAAUCUUCCACAAUGGACGAAAGUCUGAUGGAGCAACGCCGCGUGAGUGAAGAAGGGUUUCGGCUCGUAAAACUCUGUUGUUAAAGAAGAACAUAUCUGAGAGUAACUGUUCAGGUAUUGACGGUAUUUAACCAGAAAGCCACGGCUAACUACGUGCCAGCAGCCGCGGUAAUACGUAGGUGGCAAGCGUUGUCCGGAUUUAUUGGGCGUAAAGCGAGCGCAGGCGGUUUUUUAAGUCUGAUGUGAAAGCCUUCGGCUCAACCGAAGAAGUGCAUCGGAAACUGGGAAACUUGAGUGCAGAAGAGGACAGUGGAACUCCAUGUGUAGCGGUGAAAUGCGUAGAUAUAUGGAAGAACACCAGUGGCGAAGGCGGCUGUCUGGUCUGUAACUGACGCUGAGGCUCGAAAGUAUGGGUAGCAAACAGGAUUAGAUACCCUGGUAGUCCAUACCGUAAACGAUGAAUGCUAAGUGUUGGAGGGUUUCCGCCCUUCAGUGCUGCAGCUAACGCAUUAAGCAUUCCGCCUGGGGAGUACGGCCGCAAGGCUGAAACUCAAAGGAAUUGACGGGGGCCCGCACAAGCGGUGGAGCAUGUGGUUUAAUUCGAAGCUACGCGAAGAACCUUACCAGGUCUUGACAUACUAUGCAAAUCUAAGAGAUUAGACGUUCCCUUCGGGGACAUGGAUACAGGUGGUGCAUGGUUGUCGUCAGCUCGUGUCGUGAGAUGUUGGGUUAAGUCCCGCAACGAGCGCAACCCUUAUUAUCAGUUGCCAGCAUUAAGUUGGGCACUCUGGUGAGACUGCCGGUGACAAACCGGAGGAAGGUGGGGAUGACGUCAAAUCAUCAUGCCCCUUAUGACCUGGGCUACACACGUGCUACAAUGGAUGGUACAACGAGUUGCGAACUCGCGAGAGUAAGCUAAUCUCUUAAAGCCAUUCUCAGUUCGGAUUGUAGGCUGCAACUCGCCUACAUGAAGUCGGAAUCGCUAGUAAUCGCGGAUCAGCAUGCCGCGGUGAAUACGUUCCCGGGCCUUGUACACACCGCCCGUCACACCAUGAGAGUUUGUAACACCCAAAGUCGGUGGGGUAACCUUUUAGGAACCAGCCGCCUAAGGUGGGAC
RNAcentral lists this ribosomal RNA (1474 nucleotides) under Lactiplantibacillus plantarum. RNAcentral describes it as "Lactobacillus plantarum 16S ribosomal RNA". It matches the Rfam family "Bacterial small subunit ribosomal RNA". Lineage: Bacteria; Bacillati; Bacillota; Bacilli; Lactobacillales; Lactobacillaceae. The record is from RNAcentral.